This 458-nucleotide ribosomal RNA is filed under the name Escherichia coli. RNAcentral describes it as "bacterial SSU rRNA". It matches the Rfam family "Bacterial small subunit ribosomal RNA", at positions 1 to 453 of the family's 1533-position model. The record is from RNAcentral. Lineage: Bacteria; Pseudomonadati; Pseudomonadota; Gammaproteobacteria; Enterobacterales; Enterobacteriaceae.
UUAAAUUGAAGAGUUUGAUCAUGGCUCAGAUUGAACGCUGGCGGCAGGCCUAACACAUGCAAGUCGAACGGUAACAGGAAUCAGCUUGCUGAUUCGCUGACGAGUGGCGGACGGGGGAGUAAUGUCUGGGAAACUGCCUGAUGGAGGGGGAUAACUACUGGAAACGGUAGCUAAUACCGCAUAACGUCGCAAGACCAAAGAGGGGGACCUUCGGGCCUCUUGCCAUCGGAUGUGCCCAGAUGGGAUUAGCUAGUAGGUGGGGUAACGGCUCACCUAGGCGACGAUCCCUAGCUGGUCUGAGAGGAUGACCAGCCACACUGGAACUGAGACACGGUCCAGACUCCUACGGGAGGCAGCAGUGGGGAAUAUUGCACAAUGGGCGCAAGCCUGAUGCAGCCAUGCCGCGUGUAUGAAGAAGGCCUUCGGGUUGUAAAGUACUUUCAGCGGGGAGGAAGGGA